UACGUAGGGUGCGAGCGUUAAUCGGAAUUACUGGGCGUAAAGCGUGCGCAGGUGGUUGUGUAAGUCAGAUGUGAAAUCCCCGGGCUCAACCUGGGAACUGCAUUUGAGACUGCACGGCUAGAGGAUGGCAGAGGGGGGUAGAAUUCCACGUGUAGCAGUGAAAUGCGUAGAGAUGUGGAGGAAUACCGAUGGCGAAGGCAGCCCCCUGGGCUAUUUCUGACACUCAUGCACGAAAGCGUGGGGAGCAAAC
Molecule: ribosomal RNA, 250 nt
Filed under: uncultured bacterium
Lineage: Bacteria
Description: partial 16S ribosomal RNA
Rfam family: Bacterial small subunit ribosomal RNA
Source: RNAcentral